UGAGGAAUAUUGGUCAAUGGGCGAGAGCCUGAACCAGCCACGUCGCGUGAAGGAAGACUGACCUUACGGUUUGUAAACUUCUUUUGUAGAGGGGUAAUGGCAGAUACGUGUAUUUGCGUGAAAGUACUCUACGAAUAAGCAUCGGCUAACUCUGUGCCAGCAGCCGCGGUAAUACGGGGGUUGCGAGCGUUAUCCGGAAUUAUUGGGUUUAAAGGGUGCGCAGGUGGCUAAUCAGGUCAGUGGUGAAAAGCUAUGGUUCAACCAUGGUCUUGCCAUUGAAACCGUAUAGCUAGAGAGGAGACGAGGUAGGCGGAAUGUGUGGUGUAGCGGUGAAAUGCAUAGAUAUCACACAGAACUCCGAUUGCGAAGGCAGCUUACCAGGCUUUAUCUGACACUUAGGCACGACAGCGUGGGGAUCAAACAGG
RNAcentral lists this ribosomal RNA (425 nucleotides) under Verrucomicrobiota bacterium. RNAcentral's name for it is "Verrucomicrobia bacterium partial 16S ribosomal RNA". It matches the Rfam family "Bacterial small subunit ribosomal RNA", at positions 355 to 776 of the family's 1533-position model. The record is from RNAcentral. Lineage: Bacteria; Pseudomonadati; Verrucomicrobiota.